This 29-nucleotide non-coding RNA is filed under the name Homo sapiens (human). The record is from RNAcentral. Lineage: Eukaryota; Metazoa; Chordata; Mammalia; Primates; Hominidae.
UAGCAAGUCCAAUGCAGAAGGUGAGUGAU